This 253-nucleotide ribosomal RNA is filed under the name uncultured bacterium. RNAcentral describes it as "partial 16S ribosomal RNA". It matches the Rfam family "Bacterial small subunit ribosomal RNA", at positions 524 to 776 of the family's 1533-position model. The record is from RNAcentral.
UACGUAGGGGGCAAGCGUUGUCCGGAAUCAUUGGGCGUAAAGAGCGCGUAGGCGGCCCUGUAAGUCCGCUGUGAAAGUCAAGGGCUCAACCCUUGAAUGCCGGUGGAUACUGCAGGGCUAGAGUCCGGAAGAGGCGAGUGGAAUUCCUGGUGUAGCGGUGAAAUGCGCAGAUAUCAGGAGGAACACCGAUGGCGAAGGCAGCUCGCUGGGACGGUACGGACGCUGAGGCGCGAAAGCGUGGGGAGCAAACAGG